Molecule: small nucleolar RNA, 84 nt
Filed under: Pongo abelii (Sumatran orangutan)
Lineage: Eukaryota; Metazoa; Chordata; Mammalia; Primates; Hominidae
Description: Small nucleolar RNA U3 (ENSPPYG00000033770.1)
Rfam family: Small nucleolar RNA U3
About the family: Small nucleolar RNAs (snoRNAs) are involved in the processing and modification of rRNA in the nucleolus. There are two main classes of snoRNAs: the box C/D class, and the box H/ACA class.
Source: Rfam by way of RNAcentral
AAGACUAUACUUUUAGAGAUCAUUUCUAUAGUUUUUUACUAGAGAAUUUUCUCUGAAGGUGUAGAGCAAAAAAAAAAAAAGGUU